UGGAGCUGCUAAUCUUAUUGCAAGAUUCCUAUAGUUUGCAUUUGUAAUGGCAGUUAUAGCAGGAAGCUGAAGAGCACUAUAAAUUACCUAUUUGGUACUCAACUUCAGGAAACCAACAAAUUAGCAGAUACAAGUCCGCUUGCAAUUUUUGGGAGAAUAAACAGUUCCUUUGGGUUCAUCGCUCAGUUUUGUCCCUGCUAUGCUUACUGCUCCUACAUGGCUCUUCAGGGUUAUGGAUGGAGUGCGUUAUUUCGACGGUCCUCUAUUUUUUUUGUUGCGUGUGCCUUCAGGUCCAUCAGGUAUAAGGCGAGUUGUGUCCCUGGUAGAGGUGCAGAUCAAGGAGGUCGACAAAUGGGAUGAUGUUGGGUGAUGUUCACUAAGGAGGAAAAAGGUGUAGGGGUCGUUGUUUUUUUGGCGAUGGCAGCGGCAUACUUCCUUGAGCGAAGAAAGGAAUCCCCAGCCUGAAGCUUCGCACAGAUUUUGCCUAUUCUCUGAGAUGGAUGAUGAUGAGCGGUGCAACCGAAAAUUCAGAGCUGAGCUUUACACACUUCAGUGGGAGUGGCAUGACAACACCAAGGUAGAGACCUGAAGAGAAGCACAGGGACGGACCAAGGAAACUAGAACCACGCUGUCGUGAUGUGGGCCGUGUCGUCUUCGUCCAUCUCCAUGGAGGUAUAUAUAAAUAUAUAGGUUAGGUAUAGGAAAUGAGACCAUCUCCAUGGAACUCUGACUGAUGUGUAAUGUCCUCAUAGGACCUGACCGACCAAACUAAACAUUCACUCAUAGUUUUCAUUUUCUCACUUAUCAUCAAUACGAAUUUUUUUGUUUAAAACUUAAAAGUAAAACCUGGAUUUACCGCUUGUGUCUACUCCAGUGUGUUAUAUUCUUCAGAAUGUCUUUAUGAGCAAGA
This is a long non-coding RNA of Triticum dicoccoides, 910 nucleotides long. RefSeq lists it as uncharacterized. NCBI's taxonomy places the organism in Eukaryota, Viridiplantae, Streptophyta, Magnoliopsida, Poales, Poaceae. The record is from RefSeq and is a predicted model, not a curated record. The transcript has 5 exons.